GAUGAACGCUAGCUACAGGCUUAACACAUGCAAGUCGAGGGGUAGCAGGGUAGCAAUACCGCUGACGACCGGCGCACGGGUGAGUAACACGUAUCCAACCUUCCCAUAACUCGGGGAUAGCCUUUCGAAAGAAAGAUUAAUACCCGAUAGUACUUUAUUAAGGCAUCUUAAGAAAGUUAAAGAUUUAUUGGUUAUGGAUGGGGAUGCGUUCCAUUAGAUAGUUGGUGAGGUAACGGCUCACCAAGUCUUCGAUGGAUAGGGGUUCUGAGAGGAAGGUCCCCCACAUUGGUACUGAGACACGGACCAAACUCCUACGGGAGGCAGCAGUGAGGAAUAUUGGUCAAUGGGCGAGAGCCUGAGCCAGCCAAGUAGCGUGAAGGAUGAAGGUCCUAUGGAUUGUAAACUUCUUUUAUAGUAGAAUAAAGUGAACCACGUGUGGUUUUUUGUAUGUAUACUAUGAAUAAGGAUCGGCUAACUCCGUGCCAGCAGCCGCCGUAA
This 498-nucleotide ribosomal RNA is filed under the name uncultured bacterium. RNAcentral's name for it is "partial 16S ribosomal RNA". It matches the Rfam family "Bacterial small subunit ribosomal RNA", at positions 28 to 523 of the family's 1533-position model. The record is from RNAcentral.